RNAcentral lists this ribosomal RNA (604 nucleotides) under uncultured fungus. RNAcentral describes it as "eukaryotic LSU rRNA". The stretch from base 246 to 399 matches the Rfam family "5.8S ribosomal RNA". The record is from RNAcentral. Lineage: Eukaryota; Fungi.
GGAAGUAAAAGUCGUAACAAGGUUUCCGUAGGUGAACCUGCGGAAGGAUCAUUACUGAGUUAGGGUCUUCUCUGGCCCGACCUCCAACCCUGUGUCUACCUUACCACGUUGCUUCGGCGGGCCUGCCGACAGGAUCUGUCGGCUGCCGGUGGGCUCAACCCCCGCUGGACAGUGCCCGUCGAUGGCCAACCUCCAAACUUCUUGAAGAACCAUGUCGUCUGAGUACCAAAUUAAAUAAAAGUAAAAACUUUCAACAACGGAUCUCUUGGUUCUGGCAUCGAUGAAGAACGCAGCGAAAUGCGAUAAGUAAUGUGAAUUGCAGAAUUCAGUGAAUCAUCGAAUCUUUGAACGCACAUUGCGCCCUCUGGUAUUCCGGAGGGCAUGCCUGUUCGAGCGUCAUAAUGACCAACUCACCAUAAUGGUGGUCUUGGGGAUGGCUAACUAGCCUCCCUUAAAAUCAGUGGCGGUGCUGUCAAGCUCUAAGCGUAGUAAUUUUCUCGCUAUAGCGUCUUGAUGGUGACUUGCCAUAACCCCAACUCUUUAAGGUUGACCUCGGAUCAGGUAGGGAUACCCGCUGAACUUAAGCAUAUCAAUAAGCGGAGGA